AAAAAAUAGAAAAUGCGGCUCCUCUCGUCGAUCCCUGCUCUCAUACGCAAACGCAAGUCUUCUCUCUUCUCUCCCCCCGCGGCUCGCCGCCGCCGCCAUCACCACUCACGACGGCCGAUUCCGGCGAGCACCGGGGGCGGGUGGCAGAUCAACGAUCUCCCCACGCCCCGCUCCUUCCUCCCAUCCCUCCAGAUCCAACGGCGCCGAAGCCGAGGCCGAGGGUGGAGGCGACACCUCGUCCUCAUCCUCCUCGUCCUCCGCCGCCGUCUCCUCCUCCUCUAGUGCCCCUCCAGCGGCCGCAACAGCAGCCUCGCCGGCGGCGAUGAGGACGAGGACGGCGUCGACGACGGGGGCGGCGGGGAGUACGAACUCGUUCGGCGUCGUGCCCGUCAGGCCCGCCGCCGGGUACGGGGACCAGGAGGAAGAGGAGGCGAGAGAUUUGUUCGACUCCGACAACGAGGAGUACGUCAAGACCCUCCGCGUAGCAACUACCUAAUUCCAGCGCGGGAUGCGACAACGCAUUUGGCCGGAGGAGAACGUGGCAGCGGCAUCUCCUGGCGAUGGCGGUGGGCAGGCAAUGCUUCAAGGCGACGGGCUGAGGCGGCGGUGCAGGGAUCCGCUCGAUCUGCUGUUGCUGCUGAGGGCGGACGGGGGAGCCGGGUCGAGGUGGCAGGUUCAUCCAUGAUGCCAACGGAGCGAGACCAACGGGGAAAGGAACAGGGCGUGGCCCCACAUGGUGGCUUGCCGUCUGCUUCACUGUUUCAUACCUUUCUCUGUACAAUUUCUUCAGCUUCAGAAACUAUUUUAUUUUUAGAAGGGAUUUGAGAUGGUGCCCGACAUUAUAGUAAGUUCAAGACUGUUGCUGAAUGAGCGGUGUGUGCAACCAGACCUCCGUCCACUUGUUUCUAUGUUUGAAUAUUCACCGGUUCUUGAGAAUCUGACGCUUCAAUUGCGCAAGAUUUGCCAAGUCAUUUUUCCUUCGAGGGUUAGUUUACUAUGCCGAUCCGAGCCAGCAUCAGGCGCGCCAAGCUCGCCGUCCACAUGCCUCCUCUUCGUCUGCAGCCGCAGUGCCAAAUCGCUCCCCAUCCGAGCAGGUAGCACCCAGUUCCCACCUUGUAACCGUUCGCUUUUAUUCUGUCCGUGUUUCCGUCCUCUCAUCUUUGCCGGUGGGUCAGGCCUCGGUUGCUAUUGUUUGAUUCUGUUGGUCAAAACUAUUUCAUAGGCACUUCUAUUACUUUGGGUUAGUAUAUAUGCUAGAGGUUUAGGGUACCUUUUACGAAGGUUAUAUUAUUUUAGGUUUUGGCGAAAGACAAAAAUAUAUAAUAUUUAAUUAAAGCUUAGUUCAUCACUGAAAUAAUUAUGAAUAUCAAUCCAGUAAAGGUAUGAUGUACUCAUGACUUUUCUUCUUUAUGUUUGGUCUUCAAGAUAUGUAUGCCACCAUGUAAAAUAUUUAUCUAAUAACUUCUCUAUUGUCGUGCAACUAUAUCUUAACUUCUUGAUAAUGCAGUAGAUGAGGUUUGUAAUAUCUUCUAACAUCUUCUAUGAACUAGAUAGUCACUAAUUUAAACUGUGUGAUAAUACCCAAAUGUCUGAAACACUGAGUAUUCUGUUGUAAGCUGAAAAUUUGAAAUUUCACAUUCCUGUUUCUGGAAAAACCAUGCUAUACUGCUAUCUAACACAAUGCUCUGUUGAUCGAUGUUUUAGUAACUUCGUGUAUUAUACUCUGUUGACGAAAAACCAUGCUAAACCCUAAAAAACAUGCUAUACUACUACUACAUUUAUUUAUUUUGUUGUAUUCGUGUAUUGUAACACAAUGCUUUGUUGAUCAGCAUGUUAAUAAUUUCGCUUCCUAACAUAUGCCUCAUCACUAAUGACGGCGACAUGGAACAACACUUCUCUGAUGUUAGUACUGUAAAGUAGAGAAAUUCAUUUGCAAGCAUGUGCCGUCGCAAAUUUGGUGGGUACAUUAGACAUUAACAAUUUGUAUGACCUCACAUUCGUCGGUGCUAAUAUUUUAUGAAUAAACAUGAGUGUAAAGGUGGUUAAGAAUUCUGAUGGAUAGUGAUGGGGAGAUAUUUACCGAGGUUGCUAGGCGGGAGGACUUCCCUUUUCUGCAAGGACUUCUCUAGGUGGGUCGUUCUGAUUUCAUAAGAUUGAAAGAACUGGACAUUGAGCUAAUUAGUCAUGUGAUUGGGCACUGAAAAUGUUUCUCAUAUUAGUUUGUUAAUAUGCUUUUACUUGUUGCAGUUUAGAAAUUUGUGUUUGUCUUGAGUAAUUUUCUGCUCUGCUUACGUUAAGAUUUUGUCUGGAAAAUUUAUGCAGCUCUUUGUUUGCACUUUAGAUGACUGUGCGUGAAGCACUGAGUUGCGCCCUUGAUGAGAUGUCUGGCAAUGCUUCUGUUUUCUUAAUGGGAGAAGAGGUACCACGAUACCACCUGGAAGACUAAGUAGUAAUAUAUUUUUCUUUCCUUUAUUUGUGCCUCUAAAUACUUGUUAUUUCUCUGACAGGGUGGUUUGAAUAAAAACUACUUCUCAGUUUCCAUGUUUUUCGAUAUUUUGGUGCCUGUUUUUUAUAUUCAGUUUUGCAGAUUUUAAUUAUGGAUCUAAGGAUUCAAAUUUGUUCCAAGCUUUUUUCUUGCAGUAAAACUCUUACUAGAGACAACUGGAAAUAGGAAACCAAGUGAACUACCAGUUUUGUCUUGAACAAUCACUACUCUGGUUUUAUUAUGGCAUACCUAAAUUUAUUCUUAGAGAAAGCUUGACAUGCAUAUUGGAUUUGCUUAUGUAUUGUUUCAGUAACAUGAUUAUAUAGUAAUCUGUUUAUAACUAUGUAAGAGCCAAUAGGAGACAGAACAUUGUAGCUUUAUACUACUAUUACAGUUAUACAUGAUUCUAUAUAGCUAAAAAUAUGUCCUGUUGUAUUCAAACGACAGAUCCUUCUAAUACAACAGCUAUACAUUGGCAGAGAGAUAAUAUAUACUGGUUUCAGUCAGAUUUUGUUCUUCAUGUCCAUAUAUAAGUUCUCUUAUUAUCUCUUUGUGUACAUCUUCAAAUAGCAACUUAAUUGGUGUGGAAUUUAUGUUCCUGGUUUAUGUAGCUACAUAAAUAUCAGGAACUAUGUUGCAGUGUUUAUUCCUUAGCACUUUUGAUUUACAAAUAAGUCUACUAUUGUAUAAUCCUUGUAACUGAAGUUGGUUGUUCAAGCAAACACAAUGUGCACUGACAGAAGAUGGCAGGAACAAUGGUACACAUUCAAGUAUGUAUCUGCCAAAGUUGAUUAUGUUUAACUCUAGGCAUUGCUAUGUAAUGGUGUACUAUUCUUUGAAGAAUUUGUAGGAGGUACUAGAAAAGUAUGACUUGAUGAGGGAUGCCUUGAUUUCAAAAGACAUCCUGAAAGAAUUUAGUUUAGUAAAAUAUUGUAUAGCCUUCUCGUAAAAGUUUGAUACACUUUUCAAGAAAACAAACUUUGGUUAAUCAUUAAGAUAUAACUUUUCUCAUAUUUGAACAACAAGGUUAUUUGAGUUCUGCUAAAAAAGGUUAUUUUUUGUAACUUUUGCGAACUUUGUGGAAAGAAGCUGCAAAUAACUGAUUUCGCUGUCAAGUCUACAAUUCAAUGUUGAUCUAGAGGGUGGAAUUUUUAAACUUCAUUGAUGCUUUCUUGUCCGUUUUGAUCUAAUAUCUGUCUGAUGUGGUUUGUAUAAAGCUUAUGGUGGUAUAAUUAGUUUUGCUUUUUUUAGGAUAUAAUAAGGUUGUAGAUAGACGGAGACUGAAUUAGUUCACAUUACUUUGAUGUCUAUCGAGCCAAUGGGACAACAAAGGUAGUUCCUUCGCACAAUUUGAAGAAUGUUAUUUCAUAUUGCAUGAUAUAUCUGACUCAUUUCAGUGGGCCUUCAGUUAAUUUGAGGCAUCCUUUCCUAGGAUCUUACCUUGAUAUUCCUCUAUUUUCUCCUAUUCGUCCCAUGCUUUUUUAAGAACUGAAAUAAUUAUAACCAGUGUUACAAAUGUUUGCUGAGGAAAAGUCCUUGCAAAAAAGAAGAACCGGAAGAAGGCUUUCUAUCUUCACCAGUAUUUCCUUUUGUUUCUAAUUGUUGGCUCUUUCCUAUGGCCUAAGAGUAAGGAUUAAUGCUUUUGAUAUCUGAUUUGAGAAAACAGCAUCAUAGAACGUAAGUAGAAGGUAGACUGUAGCAUUGAUCAUUGCUAUUUUGUACAUAGACAGUUCAACGAACUGCUCUGAUAGGGGAUGUUGAGGGUGACGACGCCGACGAGCAAGUCGGCGUCUGUAAAGCUUUGCCGGAGCCAUUCCAGCUCUUUCAAAGCCACAAGGCAAGGAAGCCGAGGAACCAAGACGCCAACGGUGCGGAGCCGUUUGCCAUCGAGAGGACUAGGGCUGCCAUCAGGGACCUCUAAACCAAGCUCAACAUCUCCCUCCAUCAACAUCGUGUCCCGGAGGGUCGUCGCCGUUCGUGACGGCGAGCUACUGCCGCCGCAUCGUCAGACGGCGAGCUACUGCCGCCGCAUCGUCAGCCGCACGGUUAGAGGGAGGCAUCAAGGGCCUGCCACCGCUGUCGGGGCCGACAUGCGUGCAAUUUCUAUUAAUGCAUCUUAUGUUGCCAAACAGCAACAUGCUCCUGUCGAUCCUAUAUCAUUGUGGGCGUGGCAUACCAGUUUCUUCCUCAGAUGAUGUUCCAAUAUAGUAAGUUCCAUCAAGAAUUGCAUGUACAUGUGCCGCUAUCUUGAUCCAAAAAGGAAAGUAAAAAGGGUGUUCAUCUACCUGGCACCGCCCAGAUGCCCCUUAAGCGGCGCGCCCGUGGCGCGCCCCAACUACUAGUUCUUACUAAACAUGGCUAGAUUGGGGGCAAUGGAAUUAACUUCUUUUCUAACUUUAUCAAUCAAGUUUUCCUUGUUUUUUGACCGAA
Triticum aestivum (bread wheat) is the source of this 4915-nucleotide RNA transcript. RefSeq lists it as uncharacterized. The record is from RefSeq and is a predicted model, not a curated record. The transcript is spliced from 7 exons. Lineage: Eukaryota; Viridiplantae; Streptophyta; Magnoliopsida; Poales; Poaceae.